ACCCCACAUAUCAACCACUGCAACCUACAGGAAACACAGAGAGGUGGUGAUAUCAAAACCCCACAUAUCAACCACUGCAACCUACAGGAAACACAGAGAGGUGGUGAUAUCAAAACCCCACAUAUCAACCACUGCAACCUACAGGAAACACAGAGAGGUGGUGAUAUCAAAACCCCACAUAUCAACCACUGCAACCUACAGGAAACACAGAGAGGUGGUGAUAUCAAAACCCCACAUAUCAACCACUGCAACCUACAGGAAACACAGAGAGGUGGUGAUAUCAAAACCCCACAUAUCAACCACUGCAACCUACAGGAAACACAGAGAGGUGGUGAUAUCAAAACCCCACAUAUCAACCACUGCAACCUACAGGAAACACAGAGAGGUGGUGAUAUCAAAACCCCACAUAUCAACCACUGCAACCUACAGGAAACACAGAAUUCAACUGUUGUUGGAAUAGUAGCUUAUCAUGUGUGAAAAAGAAACAAUAACAUAAUCCAUGAUGGAUGGAGGACCACACUGGAAAACAAGUCUAUUGACUUUAUUGUGUUUCCACCAGAGGCUAGAGGGAGGAGCUAUAGGAGGACGGGCUCAUUGUAUGGCAGGAAUGGAACGGUGUCACACAUGGAAAGCACAUGCUUGAUUCAGUUCCAUGAAUUCAAUUCCAAUGUCUGGAAAACUAAAGCUCAUCCCACCAGCCUCCUCUGGUUUAUACCCUUUAUACAGUUGUUGGUAAAUG
Long non-coding RNA from Oncorhynchus keta (chum salmon), 739 nucleotides. RefSeq lists it as uncharacterized. The record is from RefSeq and is a predicted model, not a curated record. The transcript has 3 exons. NCBI's taxonomy places the organism in Eukaryota, Metazoa, Chordata, Actinopteri, Salmoniformes, Salmonidae.